RNAcentral lists this ribosomal RNA (327 nucleotides) under uncultured eukaryote. RNAcentral describes it as "partial 18S ribosomal RNA". It matches the Rfam family "Eukaryotic small subunit ribosomal RNA", at positions 1470 to 1796 of the family's 1831-position model. The record is from RNAcentral.
CCCUUAGAUGUCCUGGGCCGCACGCGCGUUACACUGAUGCAUUCAACGAGUUUCACCUUGGCCGAGAGGCCUGGGCAAUCUUUUAAACCUGCAUCGUGAUAGGGAUAGAUUAUUGCAAUUAUUAAUCUUGAACGAGGAAUUCCUAGUAAACGCAAAUCAUCAAUUUGCAUUGAUUACGUCCCUGCCCUUUGUACACACCGCCCGUCGCACCUACCGAUUGAAUGAUCCGAUGAAUAUCAUGGAUUGAGGAUUAUAGCAGGUUCGCCUGUCUUGAUCUUCGAGAAGUGAAGUAAAUCUUAUCAUUUAGAGGAAGGAGAAGUCGUAACA